Long non-coding RNA from Pygocentrus nattereri (red-bellied piranha), 449 nucleotides. RefSeq lists it as uncharacterized. The record is from RefSeq and is a predicted model, not a curated record. The transcript is spliced from 2 exons. NCBI's taxonomy places the organism in Eukaryota, Metazoa, Chordata, Actinopteri, Characiformes, Serrasalmidae.
GUCACUCUCUCGCCAGCUGAUCGGAGACACCGGCAAGAGUAAGAAACGGCAGAAGAGGAAGAAGAAGCCGCCGCCGCCGCCUGCGAGGUAUGCAGACAGAACUGGGGACAUGGAGCAUAAGUAUUUGCAAAUGUUGGCUAACCAACAGCAGUUCUUCUCUGGCAAACUUUAUGUUCCUGUCCACAUGCUAAAGCUGCCAGCUGAAGAACUGUUGUGGUCAGCUCUGUCCUGCACCAAAAGACUACAACCAGAGGAAUUUACCAUUUGAGCUAUAACUUGUAUGUAUGCUAGAGUUUUUAAAGCUAUAAACCUGAACAUUCAACUGUCGUAUAUCAAAUUGAGGUGUCCUGUCUGUCUGUCUGUCUAUAAAUAAAUAAGUGUUUUUAUGACAAAUAUGUGUGGAAGGUCAUGUUUUUAGCACAAAAUAAAACUUAAAUCACGAAAAAUGA